CCUACGGGAGGCAGCAGUGAGGAAUAUUGGUCAAUGGACGAGAGUCUGAACCAGCCAAGUAGCGUGAAGGAUGACUGCCCUAUGGGUUGUAAACUUCUUUUAUAUGGGAAUAAAAUGUUUCACGUGUGGGAUUUUGUAUGUACCAUAUGAAUAAGGAACGGCUAACUCCGUGCCAGCAGCCGCGGUAAUACGGAGGAUCCGAGCGUUAUCCGGAUUUAUUGGGUUUAAAGGGAGCGUAGGUGGAUUGUUAAGUCAGGUGUGAAAGUUUGCGGCUCAACCGUAAAAUUGCAGUUGAUACUGGCAGUCUGGAGUACAGUAGAGGAGGGCGGAAUUCGUGGUGUAGCGGUGAAAUGCUUAGAUAUCACGAAGAACUCCGAUUGCGAAGGCAGUUCACUGGACUGCAACUGACACUGAGGCUCGAAAGUGUGGGUAUCAAACAGGAUUAGAUACCCGGGUAGUC
This 460-nucleotide ribosomal RNA is filed under the name uncultured bacterium. RNAcentral's name for it is "partial 16S ribosomal RNA". It matches the Rfam family "Bacterial small subunit ribosomal RNA", at positions 338 to 795 of the family's 1533-position model. The record is from RNAcentral.